UGAUGCCAGGGUCCCAAGGUCUGAGCCCACAUGAGCUUGCUCUAUAGUGGGCUCAGACCUUGGGAUCCGCCCCGAUAUGAGCAUAAAAGUGGGAUGUAUAUCCCACGAUAUGCGAAUAGCGGGUAGGAUUGUGGGUUGCCGAGUGCCAGUGGCACUCGUUUGGCAACGACCGGAGUGAAACGGAGAUGCGAAGCACGCAACAAUCCGUAGGCAUCA
Molecule: small RNA, 216 nt
Filed under: Marvinbryantia formatexigens DSM 14469
Lineage: Bacteria; Bacillati; Bacillota; Clostridia; Lachnospirales; Lachnospiraceae
Description: Clostridiales-1 RNA
Rfam family: Clostridiales-1 RNA
Source: Rfam by way of RNAcentral